This 510-nucleotide ribosomal RNA is filed under the name uncultured bacterium. RNAcentral describes it as "bacterial SSU rRNA". It matches the Rfam family "Bacterial small subunit ribosomal RNA", at positions 29 to 518 of the family's 1533-position model. The record is from RNAcentral.
AACGAACGCUGGCGGCGUGCUUAACACAUGCAAGUCGAACGCGAAAGGGACUUCGGUCCUGAGUAAAGUGGCGCACGGGUGAGUAACGCGUAGAUAACCUGUCUUCAUGUCUGGAAUAAUACGCCGAAAGGGGUACUAAUACCGGAUAUUCUUGCUUUUCAUAAGUUAUGCAAGCAAAGGUGGCCUCUGCAUAUGCUACUGCAUGAAGAGGGGUCUGCGUACCAUUAGCUAGUAGGUGGGGUAAUGGCCUACCUAGGCGACGAUGGUUAGCGGGUCUGAGAGGAUGAUCCGCCACACUGGCACUGGAACACGGGCCAGACUCCUACGGGAGGCAGCAGUGAGGAAUAUUGCGCAAUGGGGAAACCCUGACGCAGCGACGCCGCGUGAGUGAAGGAAGGCCUUCGGGUCGUAAAGCUCUGUCAAGAGGAAAGAAGUGUACAAUGGCUAAUACCUGUUGUAUUUGACGGUACCUCUAAAGGAAGCACCGGCUAACUCCGUGCCAGCCGCAGC